This 388-nucleotide ribosomal RNA is filed under the name uncultured bacterium. RNAcentral's name for it is "bacterial SSU rRNA". It matches the Rfam family "Bacterial small subunit ribosomal RNA", at positions 29 to 417 of the family's 1533-position model. The record is from RNAcentral.
AUUGAACGCUGGCGGCAUGCCUUACACAUGCGAGUCGAACGGCAGCACGGGGGCAACCCUGGUGGCGAGUGGCGAACGGGUGAGUAAUGCAUCGGAACGUGCCCAGUAGUGGGGGAUAACUAGUCGAAAGAUUAGCUAAUACCGCAUACGACCUAUGGGUGAAAGCGGGGAUUCGCAAGAACCUCGCGCUAUCGGAGCGGCCGAUGUCUGAUUAGCUAGUUGGCGGGGUAAGGGCCCACCAAGGCUUCGAUCAGUAGCUGGUCUGAGAGGACGACCAGCCACACUGGGACUGAGACACGGCCCAGACUCCUACGGGAGGCAGCAGUGGGGAAUUUUGGACAAUGGGCGCAAGCCUGAUCCAGCCAUGCCGCGUGCGGGAAGAAGGCCU